Molecule: long non-coding RNA, 5390 nt
Filed under: Homo sapiens (human)
Lineage: Eukaryota; Metazoa; Chordata; Mammalia; Primates; Hominidae
Description: long non-coding RNA NONHSAT215396.1
Source: RNAcentral
CUCUGCUCUUAAGACGCGUGUCUGCCGACGCUCCUGGCCGAAUAAAAAACCUCUUCCUUCUUUAAUCCGGUGUCCGAGGAGUUUUGUGUGCGACUCGUCCUGCUACAUUUCUUGGUUACAAAAACCUCUUCCUUCUUUAAUCCGGUGUCCGAGGAGUUUUGUCUGCGACUCGUCCUGCUACAUUUCUUGGUUACAAAAACCUCUUCCUUCUUUAAUCCGGUGUCUGAGGAGUUUUGUUUGCGACUCGUCCUGCUACAUUUCUUGGUUCCGUGACCGGGAAGCGAGGUGAUUGAAGGACGGUCGAGGCAGCCCCUUAGGCUGCUUAGGCCUGCCCUGUGGAGCGUCCCUGCAAGGGACUCUGGCCAGCUUGAGCGACGGGCAUCCUGAGAGCGCUCCCGGGUAGGCAAUUGCCCUGGUGGAACACCUCGUCAGAGCAGUGUGUGGCAGGCCCCCGCGGAGGAUCAACGUGGUGGCUGAACACCGGGAAGGAACUGGCACUAGAAGUCUGGACGUCUGAAACUUGGAACUCAUUAAUCUUCAAAGGCUUCAAGAGUGGCACAGAUGAAUCCAAUAUUCCUAUAUGACCUACUUUACUGAACUGGAAAAACUGCAUGCUGACAGCACAAAUGAUCUGUAAGAAGAGAUGCAGGUUGUAUAUGUCAGCCUCGCAGAGAACUCUUUCCAAAUACCACUGGGAGAACCAGAGCAACAUGACAACUCCACAGUAUAGCCCAAAAUACUGAAGGCUGCCUGCUAAGAAAGAGUAGACAGACCCAAUGUCCUCCGAUCAGUCUGGACUCAGUUCAUCCUUCCCCUGGUACAGAAGAGCUGCGUCAGUCAUUCUCUCUGUGAUCUACUGAUAAGAGUCCUGGACGGGGAAUUCCAAGGCCAUGGGUCUAUUCCCAGCCUUGCCACUAUGAAUGUGACCUCCAGCAGUUAGGUUCAUUCCACAAACAUUUCUAAGUGUCCAUGGUGACCCAGACAUCAUGGGAACUUCAGGGUUCCAGAGCUGAGUAGAACACAACUCCCAUCCUUAGGGAUUCACCAUCCAGUAGAGGAGAAAGACGUCGAGACAGAAGACAGAAGGGAAAGGAAAAGCUCAAUGCUGUGCCUUCAACUUAGCUUCUCCAUUUUUUGGAGAAGGGUUAAUAGGGGAAGCAGAGAGAGAGAGAUGAGAGACCAAAGUUUCUAGGGCCUUUAUCUCCAGAGCAGAGGGUCUGAAACCUUAGUGAGCAAAAACUGAUCCGGAAGACUUGUUGGAGGCAUACCUUCCAGUUCAGCGAGCCAUUUCAGCAGAUUGGAGGUCCCCUGCCUGCAGCACGUGCUGAUCUCCAAGGGUGAGGCUGGAUGAAGCCAGGGGCUAUGGAAAGGGAGACUGUUUCAGAGGACUUGACACCAUCUUCAGUAAUUUCUCUGGUUCUUGGCAGCUCCAUUUGGCUGCGUCCCUACCCUGCAUAACCCUCCCAGCUAGUCUACUCCAGGGCAGCAUCCAGCUGGUGACCUGAGAGGGCAGUGGCGCACCAGUCUCCAUGAAGGUUGAGCUCCGAUGGCCAACAGCCAUUUCCACCUUGUGGUCUACAACUCUUCAUCCCGACUGCAUGGAGGUUGGUCUCUCUCUUCAGCUGGAUUUAGGCCACCAUCUGAGCCCCCGGGGUACGUUUUGUCUGACCCUGGCGCCAUUCGAACGGUUCUUCUACAGCAUCAGGAGAACCUGGCUACAAGUCCCAGCCUUUACCAUGGAGGCUGAAGGUGUGGGGAGGGACUUCAGCCUUCUCCUCAGCCCUGCCCUUACUCUGAGACAAGGAGCACCCCUGGCACCGCAGUGAGAUCUCUGCCCUGCCAGCAGGCAGAGCCCUGGCACAGUCCUUUGCCCCAUCUCUUCUUCCCUCUACUAUUCAAGGUGGCUUACUUUGAAUCCAUUCUUCCUGUCAGGCCAUUGUUCCUUACGUUCACCUGGCUCCUAGGGCUUUUGUGCUGUAGGCCUAUAUUUCCAGCUACUUUUGGAAAAAAUCUCUCUGGAGGCUCAAUGAGCUUGUCACAUCAGCCUGCCCAGAGGUAAAGCACAUUUCUCUGCCCUCACACGCCUCUCCCUUGCUGUCUUUAACUUAAUCAAUGCCCGUAACACCCUCUACAAUGCUGAGCAAGCUCAGAUCCUCCUAGUCUUCAUGGCAUCCUUCUUUUUCUUUUUCCAUUGGUCUAAUCUGAUUGAAUUUAAAUUUUGCACAUUUUGCAUGAGUAAUUCUCUUGCAUGAAUCUCUUUCUCUUCCUCCCUUCUGCCAUCACUGGCUCUUGUCCUCUCUUUACUGGACUGUAGAAUAAUCUCUUUGGUGGUCUUCCUGUGGUCUUCCCUUCCCCUCCACUAAAUCUACUCUCUAUUCAGUAUCAAGAAAGACUUAAUCAGCAGUGAAUACUCUCCACCAAGCCCUUGACCCAUUGUCAGUCUCUGGCAUCAGAUCCUUUCCAGUAGGGCAAAGUGCAACUGCAGCCAGCUCAUGCCUUCAAGAGAAGGACUGAAGAUCAUUGUGUGCCUAAACCAAGUAAGUCUAACUGCUCCUUCACCAGCUCACCCAAAACUAUAGGGGCCUUCUACAGUCACGUUCCCAUAGCUCUGGGAAUUCCUCCAGACUUGAACUCUGGUUUGGCUUCCCCAGUUUAUAUCCUAUGCUUCAUACCAAGGUCUUCCCACUUUGCCUAUCCUACAAGAAGUAGUGGCCAGGUUGGACUUUCUGAUAAGUUUGGAGAUUGCUUCUUGGCUGACCCUUGGUACCUUGUUCUACUAGCCACAGCUAAGCUCCACAAAGCCUAGGUGAGUGGGACACUGCAACCCAGCCCAGACCCAACACUAUGACCUUCUACCAGUUGAGCAUGGGAUCAAGAUGAGACUUCUAGUGCCAAUACUAAAGACUAUGAGGUUUGCAAGGUGAAGUUCACUGUCAACCUCUUAUAGUCCAUAACAAAUAUUUCUAGUUUGUUCACUCAUUGAGUCAUCCAACAAGUAUUUAUAGAGCAACCGUCAAGUGCCAUAUACAUUCCAUGGUGUUAGGGAUAUAGCAGGGAAAAUGUCAGACAAGGUUUCUACUCAUAGAAUCCAUAUUCUACUAUUGGAGGAAAAGAGAUAGCACAUAUAGCAUCAGUCAUUGUCAAUGAUCUUAAAUGUCUGAAGACAAUUAGCUUUAUAAGAUGUAAGUGACUGAGAGGGAAGGGCUAUUUUAGACAAAAUGCUCAAGGAAUUAGCUCUGGGAAUAUGAUGUUUAAACAGAGAUCUGAAUGACAAGAAGAAGCCAGCAUGCCAAUGUUGGUGGGCAGAGUAUACUGGGUAGAGAGACCAGCACAAGUACAAAACUCUAAAGUGGGAAUGAACCUGGAUGAGUCUGAAGGAUGGGAAAAAGAAUCAUGUGGCUGGAUUUGAUGAGCAAAGAGGUGAAUAAGAGGAAAAAUUAAGUCAAACAGGAAGACACAGACUAGAUCAUGUAAGGCCUUGGUAAGUGAUAUGGUUUGGCUGUGUCCCCACCCAAAUCUCAUCUUGAAUUGUAGUUCCCAUAAUUCCCACUGUUGUGGGAGGGACCCAGUGGGAGAUAAUUGAAUCAUGGGGGUGAUUACCCCAUGCUGCUGUUCUCAUGACAGUGAGCGAGUUUUCACGAGAUCUGAUGGUUUUAUAAGUUUUAUAAGGGGUUUUCCCCCCUUUUGCUCGGCACUUCUCUCUUGCCUGCCACCAUGUAAGACAUACCUUUGCUUCUCCUUCUCCUUCUGCCAUGAUUGUGAGGCCUCCCACCCAUGUAGAACUGUGAGUCCAUUAAACCUCUUUUCCCUUAUAAAUUACCCAGUCUCAGAUAUGUCUUUCUUAGCAGCAUGAGAACAAACUAAUACAGUAAAUUUGCAUAAGACAUUUGCCCUUCCCUUUGAAAGCAAUGGGAAGCCAUGCUCUGCAUACUCAGAAUAAGAGUGAGAUUGGAAACCAUGGUGAUUGAAGACCUAUUGGGAGUGAAGACUUGAGCCUUGAAGGAGAGAGUGACUGCAAAGUUUCUCAGAUAUCUGCAACUGGGGAUGAUAUCUGGAUGGGAUGCCUGGGCCCUGGGGUUAGUGAGGAGUUCAAAGAAGAAGGAGCAGAAAUGGAUUCAGGAGAGAGUGAGCAGAGACUCAAUGUUCUGUAAGUAAGUGCUCCUACAGGGGAAGGGUUAGAGAGGUCGGUAGAGGGGCCCAGGAUUCCGGGAAGCUGGAGAUUCCAGCUCUAAGACAUGCUAUUGUAGCCUCAAGACAGAUGCACAAUUAUAGGUUGCAACAGUGGAGUGAUUUUGAAGAAGCAAAAAUACUCAGUGCAAUGGACUGAAUGUUAGUGUCCUUCCAAAAUUCAUAUGUUGAAACCCUAAUCUACUAUGUGUUAGGAUUAGGAGGUAAAGCCAUUGGGAGGUAAUGAGGGUGGAGUUCUCAGGAAUAGGAUUGGUGCUCUUAUCAACAGAACCCCAGAUAGCUCUCUCGCCCUCACUCCACCACAUGAGGAUACAAGAAGUCUGCAGUGUGCAAUCUGGAAAGGGCCCUCAACAGAACCCGACCAUGCUGACACUUUGAUCUUGGACUUCCAGGCUCCAGAACUGGGAGAAAUAAACUUCUGUUGUUUGCAUGUCAUCUCUUUCCUGCCACCAUGUGAAGAAGGACAUGUUUGCUUCCCCUUCUGCCAUGAAUGGACAGGGUCCUGCUGUGUUGCCCAGGCUGGCCUUGAACUCCUGGCUUCAAACAGUCUUCCCACUUGGGCUCCCAAAGUGCUGGGAUUAAAGGGGCGAGUUACAGCACCAGGACCUGAAAUGUUAUACACCCCAUCUUGAUGACAAUGCAUUAAUGGGGAUAAAUACUCCCCAGAAGAGCUUCGGCCUGUCCUGAGAUCUGCAACACAAGGAGUUUUUAACCUGGAAAGUGUGCUUAAUUCUUCUACUGCCUCUUCUUGAGGGCUGCCUAAGUACAGAAUGUUUGGUGUCCUGGAGGGUGCCCAGGCUAACAGUGAGAAUUGGAUAGCUCCAUCAGGGCCUUGGGCACUGGGCCUAUGGAGUAGCCUGUACUUCUUGCUCUUUUCAACACUUGAAGGGAGAGGGGGCCGAGUUCUCUCGCAGAGUUGCUCUAUGGCAGUGGCAGCAGCCAGCUGGAUAUCACGGGAAAAUGCCCGCUCCGUGAAACGGUCAUAUAUGCAAAGUAGCCCCCAAAGGCCAAAAGAGCCAAGAAACCAAAGAACAAGCCACACAACUAAAAACAUGGCCAGCAAAGCAGGUGAGGCAAAGAUCAGGAAGGACAUUAAACGCCAAACUAAGGAGGACAGACAGCCUCUCCAAGACUCUCUGAAAAUAACUCUUAGCCAGACAAUAGCAAUUUCUCCUUGCUGUGCUGCCAUUCUCUGCCAAAGG